RNAcentral lists this ribosomal RNA (440 nucleotides) under uncultured bacterium. RNAcentral's name for it is "partial 16S ribosomal RNA". It matches the Rfam family "Bacterial small subunit ribosomal RNA", at positions 339 to 795 of the family's 1533-position model. The record is from RNAcentral.
CUACGGGCGGCUCCAGUGGGGAAUAUUGCACAAUGGAGGAAACUCUGAUGCAGCAACGCCGCGUGGAGGAUGACACUUUUCGGAGCGUAAACUCCUUUUAUAUAGGAAGAAGAUGACGGUACUAUAUGAAUAAGCGCCGGCUAACUCCGUGCCAGCGAGCCGCGGUAAUACGGAGGGCGCAAGCGUUACUCGGAAUCACUGGGCGUAAAGAGCGUGUAGGCGGAUUAAAAAGUCAGAAGUGAAAUCCUAUAGCUUAACUAUAGAACUGCUUCUGAAACUCUUAAUCUAGAAUAUGGGAGAGGUAGAUGGAAUUUCUGGUGUAGGGGUAAAAUCCGUAGAGAUCAGAAGGAAUACCGAUUGCGAAGGCGAUCUACUAGAACAUUAUUGACGCUGGGACGCGAAAGCGUGGGGAGCAAACAGGAUUAGAUACCCCAGUAGUC